This 253-nucleotide ribosomal RNA is filed under the name uncultured bacterium. Its description in RNAcentral is "partial 16S ribosomal RNA". It matches the Rfam family "Bacterial small subunit ribosomal RNA", at positions 524 to 776 of the family's 1533-position model. The record is from RNAcentral.
UACGGAGGGGGCUAGCGUUGUUCGGAAUUACUGGGCGUAAAGCGUGCGUAGACGGUUACAUAAGUCGGGUGUGAAAGCCCCGGGCUCAACCCGGGAACUGCGUCCGAUACUGGCUGGCUUGAAUCCGGGAGAGGGAUGCGGAAUUCCAGGUGUAGCGGUGAAAUGCGUAGAUAUCUGGAGGAACACCGGUGGCGAAGGCGGCAUCCUGGACCGGCAUUGACGCUGAGGCGCGAAAGCCAGGGGAGCAAACGGG